UAACUUUAUUCCAUUCCUCAA
This 21-nucleotide non-coding RNA is filed under the name Caenorhabditis elegans. The record is from RNAcentral. Lineage: Eukaryota; Metazoa; Nematoda; Chromadorea; Rhabditida; Rhabditidae.